This is a long non-coding RNA of Diospyros lotus (date-plum), 516 nucleotides long. RefSeq lists it as uncharacterized. Lineage: Eukaryota; Viridiplantae; Streptophyta; Magnoliopsida; Ericales; Ebenaceae. The record is from RefSeq and is a predicted model, not a curated record. The transcript has 2 exons.
CUUCGUUCUUCACUCUUUAGUUCUAGUCAUCUCCAUCCAAUUGUGCGCGGCAGCCUUGCCGUCUUGAAUCUUGCCUCUCAGGUUCACACACACAAUUUAUCGUGAUAUUUUGACCAUUUUGCUUCAUUUGGAAGAAAGAGAAGGCGCCAAACAACACACACAGCCCGCGAUUUCUACUUUCUUCCUCCUUGCCGGUUUAGCCACAACACGUCGCCACCGCCCACGAUUUCUACUUUCUUCCUCCAGCUACUGAAACUUUCUUCCUCUUCGUCGGUUUAGCCACAACCCACCACCACCUACUAUUGAGAAACCAGAUCUGCAGUCGGGAAAACGGGUUGAGACAAGAUCCAAAACUCAAAAAAGGUGGAAGAAAUCUCGUGCCACCGACGACAAUGUUGGACCUAUGUAAGCUUUCUUCCUUUAUUUCCUUCAUUUUAAAAUAACGUUUAUGUACUCAUACGUGGUCAAAUUAGAAUACAAGAAUAAUUAGAAAAAAAGAUAGCUUUGAUUACUUUA